This 464-nucleotide ribosomal RNA is filed under the name uncultured bacterium. RNAcentral's name for it is "partial 16S ribosomal RNA". It matches the Rfam family "Bacterial small subunit ribosomal RNA", at positions 339 to 795 of the family's 1533-position model. The record is from RNAcentral.
CUACGGGCUGCACCAGUGGGGAAUUUUGGACAAUGGGGGCAACCCUGAUCCAGCCAUGCCGCGUGAGUGAAGAAGGCCUUCGGGUUGUAAAGCUCUUUCGGCCGGGAAGAAAUCGCACGAGUUAAUACCUCGUGUGGAUGACGGUACCGGCAUAAGAAGCACCGGCUAACUACGUGCCAGCAGCCGCGGUAAUACGUAGGGUGCGAGCGUUAAUCGGAAUUACUGGGCGUAAAGCGUGCGCAGGCGGUUUUGUAAGACAGGCGUGAAAUCCCCGGGCUCAACCUGGGAACUGCGUUUGUGACUGCAAGGCUUGAGUAUGGCAGAGGGGGGUGGAAUUCCACGUGUAGCAGUGAAAUGCGUAGAGAUGUGGAGGAACACCGAUGGCGAAGGCAGCCCCCUGGGCCAAUACUGACGCUCAUGCACGAAAGCGUGGGUAGCAAACAGGAUUAGAUACCCUGGUAGUC